Molecule: non-coding RNA, 1844 nt
Organism: Theobroma cacao (cacao)
Lineage: Eukaryota; Viridiplantae; Streptophyta; Magnoliopsida; Malvales; Malvaceae
Source: RefSeq, a predicted model, not a curated record
UCUGUGGUUCAAUAGUCAUCCAGUGAUUGAUAAAGAGGUAUAUGCAAAUAAAACAGUCAGAGUCUUCAGGAGUAACCUUUUUUAUUACCAUUACUGGCACACAGCCACUCAGACAUCUUAUUUAUGGAUAUUCAUUUUAAUUAAUUUUUUGUGCAGGAUGAUAUUUUGUAUUAAUUUCCAACAUUACAGCAUACAACUUCUAUGGAGGGGAGAAGAUGUUCUGAUCGUGGUGGACAAGUUGACAUGAAGUUUCUGGAAGAGAAGAAAUGGAAAUUAAGGUUUUUAUAAGUUUUUUUUUUUAUUUGGGUUCCACACUUGUGUACUUAAAAAACUCCUUUGCCACUCUGUUCAAUAUAACAUGGUGAGUUGUCUACCUGAAGCAAAACUAGAUUCAAGGAGAGUCAUGGUCCUUGGAUUAGGUGCACUUAAUCUUUUUGAGGUUAUUGUUCUUGCUUUCAUGUUAUAGUUGAGAAUACUGUUAUUUUAAUGGUUUCUAGUAGUCGUCUCUCAAUUGUUUUCCUCAUGAAUAUUUUUUGAAGGGACACUGCAGUUGUAUCAAAUGAAUAUCAAAUUUUUGGCUACGUUAUAUCCUUUACUUCAGGAGAAAUGCUGGGAUAGAAAAGAGAAAUGGAGUCAGGGAACAGCAUGCUUGAAUCGCCAGGUCCUUCACUAAAACAGAAGGAGUGCAAGGCACAUGGCCUAAAGAACAGUUAUAGGACAGGAUUGUUUUGUCUACACUAGCGAUAGAGACCUGCUGGAGCAAAAUUAUGAAGCUCAAAUUGGAAUAGCAGAUUUCUGGAGAUUGGGAAGUCAGAUUGAUUGGCUAUAAGGAUUUGUCCUUACAAAGAAGCAAAGCAAAUAUGGGAGUCAAUGAUAGCCAAAUACACUGCUGAAGAUGUUGGGAAACAGAAGUUCAUGAUUGGCAACUUCUAUCGACGGAAGAUGACAAAUGACAAGGACAUCAAGAGUUAGAUCAAUGAAUACCACAAGCUGGUGGAUGAUUUGAAGGUUGAAAAAAUCAACUUGCAAGAAGAGUUCGUUGCUCGGUUGUUGAUUAAGAAGCUACCAGAGUCCUGGAAUGGAUACAAGCAACAACUGAAGCACAAUGAAAAACAGUUGUCACUUGCAAAUUUGAUUGUGCACAUCAUCAUUGAAGACACAACCCGAAGGGAGAUUAAGACCUCCAAAGCUAAGGAAGUUGUAACUAAAGUCAAUCUGGUGCAAGGCAGAAUCUAGGGUCAACAAAGAUACCCUUACAAACCUAAUCAUAAACCCAAAGCUCCUCAUCUCACUUUCAAAAAGAAGGGUAGUUGUUUUGUCUGUGGAAAGCCAAGGCAUCAUGCAGCACAAUGCAAGAAAAUAGUAAAGAGAAAUGAUAAACCUAUUAAUUCAAGAGUCAACUUGGUCAAAGCAGAUGAAUUUGAUGAUGUAAUUGCUGCAGUCAUUUCACAAGCAAAUAUGGUGGCCAGUUUGAAGGAAUGGGUGGUAGACUCAAGUGCUACCAGGCAUAUUUGUGCAAACAGAAAUGCUUUUACCUCCUAUACUCCAAUAGAGGAGGGAGAAGAGACAAUAUACCUUGGUGAUUCUCAAAUUGCUCAAGUUAUUGGUAAAGGAAAAGUCCUUCUCAAGUUCACAUCUGGCAAGACCCUAACUCUGAAUAAUGUUCUUCAUAUUCCCAAUAUAAAGGCAAACCUGGUAUUUGUGGCCUUAUUAGGCAAGGUUGGGUUGAAAAUGUCAUUCGAAUCUGACAAGAUCAUGAUCACAAAAAAUAAUGUGUUUGUGGGUAAGGGUUAUUGCAAUUAAAGACUCCUUGUACUUAACGUUUCCAAUGUUUUGAAUGAAAA